Molecule: ribosomal RNA, 1346 nt
Filed under: uncultured bacterium
Lineage: Bacteria
Description: partial 16S ribosomal RNA
Rfam family: Bacterial small subunit ribosomal RNA
Source: RNAcentral
GACGGACGCUGGCGGCGUGCUUAACACAUGCAAGUCGAACGGAAAGGCCCUGCUUUUGUGGGGUGCUCGAGUGGCGAACGGGUGAGUAACACGUGAGUAACCUGCCCUUGACUUUGGGAUAACUUCAGGAAACUGGGGCUAAUACCGGAUAGGAGCUCCUGCUGCAUGGUGGGGGUUGGAAAGUUUCGGCGGUUGGGGAUGGACUCGCGGCUUAUCAGCUUGUUGGUGGGGUAGUGGCUUACCAAGGCUUUGACGGGUAGCCGGCCUGAGAGGGUGACCGUCCACAUUGGGACUGAGAUACGGCCCAGACUCCUACGGGAGGCAGCAGUGGGGAAUAUUGCACAAUGGGCGGAAGCCUGAUGCAGCAACGCCGCGUGCGGGAUGACGGCCUUCGGGUUGUAAACCGCUUUCGCCUGUGACGAAGCGUGAGUGACGGUAAUGGGUAAAGAAGCACCGGCUAACUACGUGCCAGCAGCCGCGGUGAUACGUAGGGUGCGAGCGGUGUCCGGAUUUAUUGGGCGUAAAGGGCUCGUAGGUGGUUGAUCGCGUCGGAAGUGUAAUCUUGGGGCAUAACCCUGAGCGUGCUUUCGAUACGGGUUGACUUGAGGAAGGUAGGGGAGAAUGGAAUUCCUGGUGGAGCGGUGGAAUGCGCAGAUAUCAGGAGGAACACCAGUGGCGAAGGCGGUUCUCUGGGCCUUUCCUGACGCUGAGGAGCGAAAGCGUGGGGAGCGAACAGGCUUAGAUACCCUGGUAGUCCACGCUGUAAACGGUGGGUACUAGGUGUGGGGUCCAUUCCACGGGUUCCGUGCCGUAGCUAACGCCUUAAGUACCCCGCCUGGGGAGUACGGCCGCAAGGCUAAAACUCAAAGGAAUUGACGGGGCCCCGCACAAGCGGCGGAGCAUGCGGAUUAAUUCGAUGCAACGCGUAGAACCUUACCUGGGUUUGACAUGGAUCGGGAGUGCUCAGAGAUGGGUGUGCCUCUUUUGGGGUCGGUUCACAGGUGGUGCAUGGCUGUCGUCAGCUCGUGUCGUGAGAUGUUGGGUUAAGUCCCGCAACGAGCGCAACCCUUGUUCACUGUUGCCAGCACGUUAUGGUGGGGACUCAGUGGAGACCGCCGGGGUCAACUCGGAGGAAGGUGGGGAUGACGUCAAGUCAUCAUGCCCCUUAUGUCCAGGGCUUCACGCAUGCUACAAUGGCUGGUACAGAGAGUGGCGAGCCUGUGAGGGUGAGCGAAUCUCGGAAAGCCGGUCUCAGUUCGGAUUGGGGUCUGCAACUCGACCUCAUGAAGUCGGAGUCGCUAGUAAUCGCAGAUCAGCAACGCUGCGGUGAAUACGUUCCCGGGGCU